GGGGGUGUAGCUCAGUUGGUUAGAGCGCAUGUUUCACAUACAUGAGGUCAUAGGUUCGAGCCCUACCAUCCCCACCA
Molecule: transfer RNA, 77 nt
Filed under: Candidatus Borkfalkia ceftriaxoniphila
Lineage: Bacteria; Bacillati; Bacillota; Clostridia; Christensenellales; Christensenellaceae
Also listed under: 1 other name
Description: Candidatus Borkfalki ceftriaxensis tRNA-Val
Rfam family: tRNA
About the family: Transfer RNA (tRNA) molecules are approximately 80 nucleotides in length. Their secondary structure includes four short double-helical elements and three loops (D, anti-codon, and T loops).
Source: RNAcentral